Molecule: non-coding RNA, 100 nt
Organism: Mycena epipterygia
Lineage: Eukaryota; Fungi; Basidiomycota; Agaricomycetes; Agaricales; Mycenaceae
Source: the annotation of a GenBank genome assembly
AGUCCAGUGGCGGAUGGUCCGCGUCUGCAGCUCCUAUUAAUAUUAUGUAGUAUGAUGUCCGCCUCGCAGAAGGUCGCCCGUUCGAGUCGGGCCUGGGUCC